RNAcentral lists this ribosomal RNA (563 nucleotides) under uncultured Actinomycetes bacterium. RNAcentral's name for it is "bacterial SSU rRNA". Lineage: Bacteria; Bacillati; Actinomycetota; Actinomycetes. The record is from RNAcentral.
CGGGGUUUCUCCUCCGCCUAUCACUUUUUUGGUGAGGUUGGCUUCCCCGCGCCAACGACGGGUACCCGUCCUAAAGGAAAACCGACCACCCUGGACCUAAAACACGCCCCAAACUCCUUCCGGAGGGAGCCUUGGGAAAUAUUGCUUGAUGGGCGGAAGCUGAUCCGACACUGCCCGCGAGUGAGAGCAGGAUUCGUUUGUACCUUCACCCCGCUCUGAAAAUGAAACGGUACCUUAUGCCAAAAAAAACCGGUUAAUGACGUGCCCCCAGCCUCUGCGAAACGUGGGCGCGAGCGUUAUCGUGAAUUAUUGUAUAGUGAACAGCUUGAAGAUUUUUUGUCCGAGGUCUGAAAAAGUCCGAGACUCCCCUCCCAACCUUCGGUGCGUGCGGUCAUAAUUGACUGUGAUGGUGGCGGUACUCCGCGCUGAAGUAGGGGUGAAGUGCGAUAUUUAUCUGUACUCCACUAGUGAAAGAGGCCAACUUCGGCGCUCUGAUGAUGCUGAGAAUGAAAUGGUGGGUAAACAACAUGAGUGCUCCGCUGAUUCUACACGCCGUAUACGUA